Long non-coding RNA from Mesocricetus auratus (golden hamster), 244 nucleotides. RefSeq lists it as uncharacterized. Lineage: Eukaryota; Metazoa; Chordata; Mammalia; Rodentia; Cricetidae. The transcript has 3 exons. The record is from RefSeq and is a predicted model, not a curated record.
GCUGUGUCUCACCAUGCCUUCCCCCAUGAUGCUCUGCUUCACCACAGCCCAGAAUCAGAUGGCCAUGGACUGGAAAUCUCUGAAACAGUGAGAAUCUGAAGUCUGUUGGAGAAGUGAGACCUCUUGCUCAGGAUUUCACAGGAACUUUGAAGGAGAACAGCUGUUGUUCCAUAUUCCUGCUGCCAUGGUAUUUUGCCUCAAUUAAGCCAAGGACCUUGAAUUGAACUGAACACUCUGGAACUGU